CGGCGGCUCGAGUGGUGGCCACUAUUAUUGGGCUUAAAGCGUCCGUAGCUGGACCCUUAAGUCUCUUGGGAAAUCCGCCGGCUUAACCGGCGGGCGUCUAAGAGAUACUGGAGGUCUAGGGACCGGGAGAGGUGAGAGGUACUCCGGGGGUAGGAGUGAAAUCCUGUAAUCCCUGGGGGACCACCGAUGGCGAAGGCAUCUCACCAGAACGGCUCCGACAGUGAGGGACGAAAGCUGGGGGAGCGAACCGGAUUAGAUACCCGAGUAGUCC
This 271-nucleotide ribosomal RNA is filed under the name uncultured archaeon. RNAcentral describes it as "partial 16S ribosomal RNA". It matches the Rfam family "Archaeal small subunit ribosomal RNA", at positions 477 to 747 of the family's 1478-position model. The record is from RNAcentral.